AAGCUGUGAUGAGGGCACUUUCAUAAUAAAUCUGUUAAUCUUUCCCAAGCUUCAUACAAACUCUCUUUAUCAUGGUGGACAAAGGUCAUUAUCUCAUUACGCAGUUU
This is a non-coding RNA of Jatropha curcas, 107 nucleotides long. NCBI's taxonomy places the organism in Eukaryota, Viridiplantae, Streptophyta, Magnoliopsida, Malpighiales, Euphorbiaceae. The record is from Rfam.